RNAcentral lists this ribosomal RNA (180 nucleotides) under Staphylococcus simiae. RNAcentral describes it as "partial 16S ribosomal RNA". It matches the Rfam family "Bacterial small subunit ribosomal RNA", at positions 1 to 175 of the family's 1533-position model. The record is from RNAcentral. Lineage: Bacteria; Bacillati; Bacillota; Bacilli; Caryophanales; Staphylococcaceae.
UUUAUGGAGAGUUUGAUCCUGGCUCAGGAUGAACGCUGGCGGCGUGCCUAAUACAUGCAAGUCGAGCGAACAGAUGAGAAGUUUGCUUCUCUGAUGUUAGCGGCGGACGGGUGAGUAACACGUGGAUAACCUACCUAUAAGACUGGGAUAACUUCGGGAAACCGGAGCUAAUACCGGAUA